Anas platyrhynchos (mallard) is the source of this 3483-nucleotide long non-coding RNA. RefSeq lists it as uncharacterized. Lineage: Eukaryota; Metazoa; Chordata; Aves; Anseriformes; Anatidae. The record is from RefSeq and is a predicted model, not a curated record.
GCUUCACUGCACAACAUCUGCUUCAUGCUUCCCUGCUCUGGAAGGGUUCAUAUCAAUACCUGUGCUUGCAGGGCAGAUAAAUAAGAACAACACUGACUUUCCAUUAAAAAAAAAAAAAAAGAAAAAAGACUGGUUUAUCUCAGUUUAGCAAACAUAUAUGACUCCCUUCAUUAACGUGGGCCAAUUUAGGCACAGUCACCAGUGCAAAAAUAUGCUGGAGGCUUCAAGAGAGGCUCCCUUGGGAAUAUAUGCCUGCUUCAAAGCAGUGAUAGAAAUGCCCAGCAAACAGCUUGGACGUGCUGCCACUUGGCUGCUCUGCUCAGAGGGGAUAGAUCCAAAGCCACAGCGGCCCAGCACCAGCUAAACUGGCAGCAAAUGAGAAGGACGUGCCAGUGCCUCAGCCCUGUCCCCACCGCUCCACGGCGUUGUUCCAGCACACCCCCCAGGGGCCUAAAGGACUUCCAUCUCUUAGCAAAAGCAAAAUAAGAAUAAUAAUAAGAGGUAAUUGCAAGUGUUCUCACAGCACAGGCUAGAACUGAGCCUUCUUCAGCCAUCGGUAAGCAGAAUAAUGCAAUGACACUUCCUUUUCUAUUAUCUUCCCAUCAAUACCCAAGCUGGUAUCUAUUACAGCUAAUUCUAAGAGCAAGUUUAAGAGCUCUGCAGUCUCAGGUCUGCCCCUGCUGUGCCGUGUCCUCACCCUGCCCCACUGUGUUGCGUUGGCACCUCCCUGCCCCAGGGAACCCCCAUGGACCGCGGGAGCAGCUGGGCACCAUGGGCACGCUGUGCAGAGCAUCCCCUGGUGAGAAUCCCCAAAGAGAAAAGGUCCUAAAUGCCUGGCUUUAUUUUUAUCUCUAUGAACCCAUCAGUUACGGCCAGUGGCUUGCACGUUGUUCCCGACAAAAAGGAAAACUAUGUCAUACAAAUUCAAGGCACUAGAGACAAGCAAGUUCCAUGAUCGUAUCCAGCCUUCAUUUUCAGAAAAAAAAAUCUCUUAUAUUUUCUGCCUGUGAUAGGGAGCGAAGAUGAUAAUAAACACAAGCUUACUUCAUAAAACUGAAUGCAAUACUAAAGGAAAAACUGCUGCAAGAGAACUUCAGCUCAUGUCAAUGGGCGUAAAGCAAGAGCACUCAUCUACCCCAAGAGCCUGCCGCUCACGUAUGAGGGCACGACGAUAAUAGUAGUAGGGUUUUAUUUGUUAUUCUGGAGCUACUUGGUGCUUAGGACUGCAGAAGUGCUCAUGAAAGACUGAGCCACGACUCACGCUGGGCAGCCCAUGUGCAUGCCAAUAAGACACUCCCGCACACUACUGAAAGCUCGUGCAUGCUACUCCACAUGUGUUACAGAAAGCUUCUUCUGGGAGGCCAUACUCUUGGUAAAAUUAGCAGCAUAACUUUAAAUUGUCCUCUUGGAAAACAAGCCACUACAGAUGACACGCGGGAAAUUAUACUUAUUCUCUGCAUAAAAAGACCGCUAUUUCAAAGUUGCCACAGUGGCAGAGAUGAAGCCCAUGUUUGUAGGAGGAAAAGGAAUCAAGGUCUUGGCAGAAGGGGUUUGUUUGUUUGUUACUUGCUGGUUUGCUUUUUCUGGCAGCCAUCUGAAGAAGUUGAAGAGUUCUAACGAUGGCAUAAAUCUCAGUAGAGAUACAGUGAGCAAAAGCAGGUGAAGUGAACAAAGCUGAAAUUUAAUCACAUUUCUAUUAUAAUCAAAUAUGUAUUCACAGUUGUGUACAACAUAUUAUAAAAACACACAAUGAGCUAAAUUGUGAUUUCAGCAGUGUAAAUAGCAGAGAAAAUGCAUUGAUCUCAGGAGAGCACUUCUGGCUUCUCACUGGUAAACCAAGAAGAAUUUUGAACAACAUAUGCUAAUUAUAUACAAUAUAAUCUGGCAAUCUGUACAGUCAUCGCUGAAACUAAACUUCAUUCAUCCUGCCAGAAUGUUCAUUGGUCUGAAACUUUGCUGCAGAAAGAAAUAUAACCCUCUGAUUUUCGUCAGGCAGCAAGUCAAACUUCAAGUCACAUUAAAAGAUAAAACUUCAAUACAUAUCUAAAUUCUAGUUUACCUUCCCAACUCACUUUGUGGAUGAGGUAUGAUUUCAUAAGGCAGUGACUUCCCAGAACUGCAAAGAAAAAUAUCCUGCACGUUUAUUUCUCCAUUGUCUAUUUUACAUAAUUUGUUGUUCGAUUAGUAGGAGCACAUAAUUAAAAACAAAGCCCAGGUAAUUAAAUUAAGAACUGAUUUAUUUCUAAAUCGUAUUCCUCAUGGUUAGAAAGUCAGCAGCAAAACUCUGCAUUGAGAGAGAACACCCGCAUGAAAAAACACAUUAAUAAACCAGGUCAGUGAAGGGAGGCAACAGUGUUUUCUACUUCCUUUUCCAAUUAGAAGAGAAAUUCCAAAAGCUAGAGUUUGUCUAGGCUACAUUAUGCAUUUAGUCAUAGUUUAACAUCCUACCAGUCUUAUGCAUUUCCUUGGCCCCAAAGUGGCAUUUUUCAUCCUUAGUAAAAUGGAGUACCUCGACUCAUCUUCAUCUACUCUAGCUGGAAUCACUGUGGUUUCCUCAACGUGUGAAGCAUCUUAAAAUCUAACCCCUCUUCCCUCCAGCAGGGGUUUGGUUUAGCCCAUCACAGGGCCUCCUACCCACAGCAGUGGAAAGCCGCUCGCAGCUGGCUGCAAGCCGGGGGAUGAGCACAGGGAAGCGUCCCACCGCUUUUCGAGCAUGCUGGACUGGGUUUCUCACUCUCCGUUGAAAUCUGAAUACCGACUCCCUGAUUUGCAUGUUCUCAGAUGCUAUCCAAGACAAGUGUGGAAUAUCACCUUGCCAACGUUUCACAAUUCAAUACGUGUUGACUUUGAUCAAUGCUGAUACUUCUAUAGGUAGCUGUGCAAAAGACACCUAAAUACAUUUUAACAUCUACCCAAUGAACUCUUCCUCAAAAUCACCAGGCUUGAUCCUGAGGUUACAAGUAAACCAUAGCCUAUGUGAUCAUUCGUCGCUCCUGACACCUUCCCUUUUUUCCUCACUUGAAAAAUUGAUCAUCGUAAUACCAAAGAAAGUUUGUAUUAACAUAAAUCUAUUCCACUUAAGCACUGGCUUGGACAACGAAUUAUUAAAUCUUGACAAAAAGAAUAUUUAUGAGAUACAGAAGAGCCUUCUGACAUAGAUGAAUCAAUAUUUUUUUUCCUCAGAAUUCUCGGAAUCAUCAAAAAGACAAUAUUUAUAUAGAAAAAAACCCUAAGGCAGUGACAAGGAUGGUAUCGUAUUUUUCUUAAGUCAGUGCAAUAAAGUAAACAAGAGGAAAAAAAAAUCAAAUCUAACGGAAGAGCCCACAAUAUGUCACAAGGACAUGUUGUUGUAUAUGCUAGGAGAAAAAGCAAAGAGUUCAAGCAGUGCCGGAGGAUUUGUGGCAACAGGCAGACAAAAUUGCAUCUGCACCCUCAACAGUAAACGACACAUGUAAUAGGGCAUGCACAGCUUCCAUUUCGGGA